AGGAUGAACGCUGGCGGCGUGCUUAACACAUGCAAGUCGAACGAUGAAGCCGGAGCUUGCUCUGGUGGAUUAGUGGCGAACGGGUGAGUAACACGUGAGUAACCUGCCCUUGACUCUGGGAUAAGCACUGGAAACGGUGUCUAAUACCGGAUACGAGCUUUAGCCGCAUGGCUAGGAGCUGGAAAGAAUUUCGGCAAGGAUGACUCGCGGACUAUCAGGUAGUUGGUGAGGUAACGCCACAAGCCUAGACGGUAGCCGCUGGAGAGGGUGACCGGACACGACGUGGACUGAGACACGCCCAGACCUCGACGGGAGCAGCAGGUGGGAAUCGUAGCUAACGAAUGGGACGACAAGCCCUG
This 359-nucleotide ribosomal RNA is filed under the name uncultured soil bacterium. Its description in RNAcentral is "bacterial SSU rRNA". It matches the Rfam family "Bacterial small subunit ribosomal RNA", at positions 26 to 386 of the family's 1533-position model. The record is from RNAcentral.